GUGGGGAAUUUUGGACAAUGGGGGCAACCCUGAUCCAGCCAUGCCGCGUGCGGGAAGAAGGCCUUCGGGUUGUAAACCGCUUUUGUCAGGGAAGAAAUCCUUUGGGUUAAUACCUCGGAGGGAUGACGGUACCUGAAGAAUAAGCACCGGCUAACUACGUGCCAGCAGCCUCGGUAAUACGUAGGGUGCGAGCGUUAAUCGGAAUUACUGGGCGUAAAGCGUGCGCAGGCGGUUUUGUAAGAUCGAUGUGAAAUCCCCGGGCUCAACCUGGGAACUGCAUUGGUGACUGCAAGGCUGGAGUGCGGCAGAGGGGGAUGGAAUUCCGCGUGUAGCAGUGAAAUGCGUAGAUAUGCGGAGGAACACCGAUGGCGAAGGCAAUCCCCUGGGCCUGCACUGACGCUCAUGCACGAAAGCGUGGGGAGCAAACAGGAUUAGAAACCCGUGUAGUCC
This 450-nucleotide ribosomal RNA is filed under the name uncultured bacterium. RNAcentral's name for it is "partial 16S ribosomal RNA". It matches the Rfam family "Bacterial small subunit ribosomal RNA", at positions 354 to 796 of the family's 1533-position model. The record is from RNAcentral.